This 69-nucleotide transfer RNA is filed under the name Marmota marmota marmota (Alpine marmot). It matches the Rfam family "tRNA". From Rfam's summary of the family: Transfer RNA (tRNA) molecules are approximately 80 nucleotides in length. Their secondary structure includes four short double-helical elements and three loops (D, anti-codon, and T loops). The record is from Rfam by way of RNAcentral. RNAcentral also lists the same sequence under 2 other names. Lineage: Eukaryota; Metazoa; Chordata; Mammalia; Rodentia; Sciuridae.
GGAGUUAUGGCUCAGUGGUAGAGUGCUUGCCUAGAGUGUGGGAAGCCCUGGGUUCGAUCCUCAGUACCA